Molecule: ribosomal RNA, 523 nt
Filed under: uncultured Pseudomonadota bacterium
Lineage: Bacteria; Pseudomonadati; Pseudomonadota
Description: bacterial SSU rRNA
Rfam family: Bacterial small subunit ribosomal RNA
Source: RNAcentral
ACCUGACGCAGCGACGCCGCGUGGGUGAUGAAGGCCUUCGGGUUGUAAAGCUCUGUGGAGGGGGACGAAUAAGGGUUGGCUAACAUCCAGCUCGAUGACGGUACCCCUUUAGCAAGCACCGGCUAACUCUGUGCCAGCAGCCGCGGUAAGACAGAGGGUGCAAACGUUGUUCGGAAUUACUGGGCGUAAAGCGCGUGUAGGCGGUUCGUAAAGUCAGGUGUGAAAGCCCUGGGCUUAACCCAGGAAGUGCACUUGAAACUCACGAACUUGAGUCCCGGAGAGGAAGGCGGAAUUCUCGGUGUAGAGGUGAAAUUCGUAGAUAUCGAGAGGAACAUCGGUGGCGAAGGCGGCCUUCUGGACGGUGACUGACGCUGAGACGCGAAAGCGUGGGGAGCAAACAGGAUUAGAUACCCUGGUAGUCCACGCCGUAAACGAUGGGUGCUAGGUGUCGCGGGCUUUGACCCCUGCGGUGCCGUAGCUAACGCAUUAAGCACCCCGCCUGGGGAGUACGGCCGCAAGGCUA